RNAcentral lists this ribosomal RNA (1554 nucleotides) under Leclercia adecarboxylata. RNAcentral describes it as "bacterial SSU rRNA". It matches the Rfam family "Bacterial small subunit ribosomal RNA". The record is from RNAcentral. Lineage: Bacteria; Pseudomonadati; Pseudomonadota; Gammaproteobacteria; Enterobacterales; Enterobacteriaceae.
ACUUAAAUUGAAGAGUUUGAUCAUGGCUCAGAUUGAACGCUGGCGGCAGGCCUAACACAUGCAAGUCGAACGGUAGCACAGAGAGCUUGCUCUCGGGUGACGAGUGGCGGACGGGUGAGUAAUGUCUGGGAAACUGCCUGAUGGAGGGGGAUAACUACUGGAAACGGUAGCUAAUACCGCAUAACGUCGCAAGACCAAAGAGGGGGACCUUCGGGCCUCUUGCCAUCAGAUGUGCCCAGAUGGGAUUAGCUAGUAGGUGGGGUAACGGCUCACCUAGGCGACGAUCCCUAGCUGGUCUGAGAGGAUGACCAGCCACACUGGAACUGAGACACGGUCCAGACUCCUACGGGAGGCAGCAGUGGGGAAUAUUGCACAAUGGGCGCAAGCCUGAUGCAGCCAUGCCGCGUGUAUGAAGAAGGCCUUCGGGUUGUAAAGUACUUUCAGCGGGGAGGAAGGUGUUGUGGUUAAUAACCACAGCAAUUGACGUUACCCGCAGAAGAAGCACCGGCUAACUCCGUGCCAGCAGCCGCGGUAAUACGGAGGGUGCAAGCGUUAAUCGGAAUUACUGGGCGUAAAGCGCACGCAGGCGGUCUGUCAAGUCGGAUGUGAAAUCCCCGGGCUCAACCUGGGAACUGCAUUCGAAACUGGCAGGCUAGAGUCUUGUAGAGGGGGGUAGAAUUCCAGGUGUAGCGGUGAAAUGCGUAGAGAUCUGGAGGAAUACCGGUGGCGAAGGCGGCCCCCUGGACAAAGACUGACGCUCAGGUGCGAAAGCGUGGGGAGCAAACAGGAUUAGAUACCCUGGUAGUCCACGCCGUAAACGAUGUCGACUUGGAGGUUGUUCCCUUGAGGAGUGGCUUCCGGAGCUAACGCGUUAAGUCGACCGCCUGGGGAGUACGGCCGCAAGGUUAAAACUCAAAUGAAUUGACGGGGGCCCGCACAAGCGGUGGAGCAUGUGGUUUAAUUCGAUGCAACGCGAAGAACCUUACCUACUCUUGACAUCCAGAGAACUUUCCAGAGAUGGAUUGGUGCCUUCGGGAACUCUGAGACAGGUGCUGCAUGGCUGUCGUCAGCUCGUGUUGUGAAAUGUUGGGUUAAGUCCCGCAACGAGCGCAACCCUUAUCCUUUGUUGCCAGCGGUUAGGCCGGGAACUCAAAGGAGACUGCCAGUGAUAAACUGGAGGAAGGUGGGGAUGACGUCAAGUCAUCAUGGCCCUUACGAGUAGGGCUACACACGUGCUACAAUGGCGCAUACAAAGAGAAGCGACCUCGCGAGAGCAAGCGGACCUCAUAAAGUGCGUCGUAGUCCGGAUUGGAGUCUGCAACUCGACUCCAUGAAGCCGGAAUCGCUAGUAAUCGUAGAUCAGAAUGCUACGGUGAAUACGUUCCCGGGCCUUGUACACACCGCCCGUCACACCAUGGGAGUGGGUUGCAAAAGAAGUAGGUAGCUUAACCUUCGGGAGGGCGCUUACCACUUUGUGAUUCAUGACUGGGGUGAAGUCGUAACAAGGUAACCGUAGGGGAACCUGCGGUUGGAUCACCUCCUUACCUUAAAGAA